GCCGCAUUCGUAUAAUGGUUAUUACUUCUGCUUCCCAAGCAGAAGAUGCCGGUUCGAUUCCGGCAUGUGGCUCCA
RNAcentral lists this transfer RNA (75 nucleotides) under Intestinibaculum porci. RNAcentral's name for it is "tRNA-Gly". It matches the Rfam family "tRNA". From Rfam's summary of the family: Transfer RNA (tRNA) molecules are approximately 80 nucleotides in length. The record is from RNAcentral. Lineage: Bacteria; Bacillati; Bacillota; Erysipelotrichia; Erysipelotrichales; Erysipelotrichaceae.